Dermacentor silvarum is the source of this 1588-nucleotide RNA transcript. RefSeq lists it as uncharacterized. The record is from RefSeq and is a predicted model, not a curated record. Lineage: Eukaryota; Metazoa; Arthropoda; Arachnida; Ixodida; Ixodidae. The transcript has 9 exons.
UGUCAUGUGCGGUCGGUGCUCUUGCUCGCCGCUCGGUCAGUUCUAGCGCUCAGGGCAACAGAAAAGUCUGAUUAUUCUUUUGAUAAAGUUUAUCUAUCUAGUUACCGAUUGCCAGUGGCGAAAUGCCAGGUCGGUGCGAUGUCGCGGGGUGCCCGAACGGUCCACGUCGUCUGAACAAGGGUACUAAAAGCUCCGACAGCAAUGUCAACUACCACACGGUGCCGCCUGACGAACCUCGACGUUCCCGCUGGUUCAGUUCUGUUCCCAUGCUACAGCGGGAAGUAAAGGAGCCGAUGAGACGACAUGUGUGCUCUCUGCAUUUCCGCCCGGAGGAUUACGAGCAUAAUUAUCUCUUAAGGCAAUCAGUGGAAGUGCCUUUCCAUGUGCGACUUCGUCGCAACGCUGUUCCGUCGAUAUUUCUUUCAUCCUUCGAAGAACUUCACAACACUUCAUUCCACCUGAAACCGAUAGAAAUCAGUAGCAAAACCUUCACCUGGGAAGCACCGCUGCUGCAAGACGAAUGUGUCGUGGCUAACGUUGCCGUUUUGAUCUCGGAAGGUGACAUUACCGGCACGCACCUGCAUGGAAAGUAACGCGGAGGCUCUUUCCCCUGGCGCCAAAAACGCGGAGACGCAGACGGAUUUCCUGCAGAGACCCGCAGAAAGAAUUGGUUAUGGUUACCGCAGCGUCGGAAAUGCGAAAGGAGUGCAGGCUAAACCGUUAUUGGGCCCGAGCGUUGGAAUCCAGGUGAACACAACAAUAAAGUUAAUGAGAUCUACGGCACUUCAAGUGAACACUUUAAAAACUAUAAAACCAAUUAGCGACUGUGCCGUACUUAUGUCAGCUAGGCAACCAGUCAUGCACCGGAGAAGUAGGCCAAUAAAGGAGCUCAGCCUACGCUUCCCUCACCUGGUGCAUCUCCAGUACUGCGAGAACCUCACAGGCAUGACGCAACGUACAAGCAGGAAUUUCACUUGCACCCCAGAUGUGACCUUUGACGAAUCACAAGCUAUACCGAAAUGGGAAUUUCCACUGGGAGAAGUCGAUGCAGUGAUGUCACUUGGAUGAAGGCGACAGUGGAUGUUUCUCGAAGGAAGAAUGCUGAGGAGAGGUGUAUGCUCAAAGAAGUACAGCACAAAAGACAGUGAUGAACAAGUCUGCUGCCCCUGGGGGAGGAAAGUGCAAAGUGCAUGUGUGAGACACGGAAUACUCAAUCACAUGGCAUCUUUGGAAAGCUCCGUAGAAAACCAUCCACUGACCUGAAGUGCCACAGCUGGGAAUCGAACCCAUAACCUCGUUCUCAACACCUCAACACCAUAUAGCCACUGCAGAUAGGCAAGGGGCCAACCUUCCUGCAUUCCUACUGGUACAGGCUGCACACACUCCAUUUCAACCUCCCAUUUCAAGUCAACGAUGAUCAAAGGAUUGUCACUCUCGGCCUAAGCUCGGAGCGAAUGAGCCGCACAUUCUUGUUAUCCAAGGAAGGUAUGGAAACAGCCCGAUACAGUUGUCAUAACUGACACGACACUCUGCAACACAAGCAAGCCUGUAGAAAUUGGUACGCUACAAUAAAGUGUGACUCUUGCCU